ACGCUGGCGGCAGGCCUAACACAUGCAAGUCGAGCGGAUGAAGGGAGCUUGCUCCCUGAUUCAGCGGCGGACGGGUGAGUAAUGCCUAGGAAUCUGCCUGGUAGUGGGGGACAACGUCUCGAAAGGGACGCUAAUACCGCAUACGUCCUACGGGAGAAAGUGGGGGAUCUUCGGACCUCACGCUAUCGGAUGAGCCUAGGUCGGAUUAGCUAGUUGGUGAGGUAAUGGCUCACCAAGGCGACGAUCCGUAACUGGGCUGAGAGGAUGAUCAGUCACACUGGAACUGAGACACGGUCCAGACUCCUACGGGAGGCAGCAGUGGGGAAUAUUGGACAAUGGGCGAAAGCCUGAUCCAGCCAUGCCGCGUGUGUGAAGAAGGUCUUCGGAUUGUAAAGCACUUUAAGUUGGGAGGAAGGGCAUUAACCUAAUACGUUAGUGUUUUGACGUUACCGACAGAAUAAGCACCGGCUAACUCUGUGCCAGCAGCCGCGGUAUACAGAGGGUGCAAGCGUUAAUCGGAAUUACUGGGCGUAAAGCGCGCGUAGGUGGUUUGUUAAGUUGAAUGUGAAAUCCCCGGGCUCAACCUGGGAACUGCAUCCAAGACUGGCAAGCUAGAGUAGGGCAGAGGGUGGUGGAAUUUCCUGUGUAGCGGCGAAAUGCGUAGAUAUAGGAAGGAACACCAGUGGCGAAGGCGACCACCUGGGCUCAUACUGACACUGAGGUGCGGAAGCGUGGGGAGCAAAC
RNAcentral lists this ribosomal RNA (744 nucleotides) under uncultured bacterium. RNAcentral describes it as "bacterial SSU rRNA". It matches the Rfam family "Bacterial small subunit ribosomal RNA", at positions 33 to 773 of the family's 1533-position model. The record is from RNAcentral.